GAUGAACGCUGGCGGCGUGCCUAAUACAUGCAAGUCGAGCGAACGGACGAGAAGCUUGCUUCUCUGAUGUUAGCGGCGGACGGGUGAGUAACACGUGGAUAACCUACCUAUAAGACUGGGAUAACUUCGGGAAACCGGAGCUAAUACCGGAUAAUAUUUUGAACCGCAUGGUUCAAAAGUGAAAGACGGUCUUGCUGUCACUUAUAGAUGGAUCCGCGCUGCAUUAGCUAGUUGGUAAGGUAACGGCUUACCAAGGCAACGAUGCAUAGCCGACCUGAGAGGGGGAUCGGCCCCCCUGGAACUGAGACACGGUCCAGACUCCGACGGGAGGCAGCAGGAGGGAAUCUUCCGCAAUGGGCGAAAGCCUGACGGAGCAACGCCGCGUGAGUGAUGAAGGUCUUCGGAUCGUAAAACUCUGUUAUUAGGGAAGAACAUAUGUGUAAGUAACUGUGCACAUCUUGACGGUACCUAAUCAGAAAGCCACGGCUAACUACGU
RNAcentral lists this ribosomal RNA (496 nucleotides) under uncultured bacterium. Its description in RNAcentral is "partial 16S ribosomal RNA". It matches the Rfam family "Bacterial small subunit ribosomal RNA", at positions 28 to 506 of the family's 1533-position model. The record is from RNAcentral.